CCUUUUGCUAAGGUGAUAGCUACAUGUCCAAGCCUAUUGCGUGGCAUGCAUUUUGCCUUCUGCAGCCCACUAAAGGAAAUUGAGGUAUACGGAAUGCUUAUUUGGUUUACUCAGUAUCAUCCUAAAUGUAUGUACCAAUGCUUAGGAGUUUGCAGUUCACCCGCAAACCUCAGCGAUCCAAGCUCCCCUGGAUGACCAUCACUCACCAAGAAAAGAACAAUAACAGGACCUGUUUUGCUAAUCCAGGACUGUUCUCCAGCACUAACUCUAAAUAAUCCCUUCUGCUAGAGUCCACUUUCUGGAACCUGUUGCCUCCGUUUUCAACGUUUCCCAAACUUGGUCCGUUGUGUGAGCUGGCUGAUAAAAGUUCCAGGUAACCUUCCUUGUUCUCAAGGUCCAUUUUCCAGGAAAAUCUGAGUCAUGGUGCUGGGGAGGACACUUAAGUACAUCAGUCAAUCAGAUGAUUAUUAAAUUUAGGAAAUAGUAGAUCAACUGGAUUAACUGGAUUAAAAUGCAGAAUCCCAGGCCCCAGCCCAGACCUACUGAACCAGCAUCUGCUCUUUAACAAGAGCCCCAUGUGAUGUGUAGGACAGAAAACUUUGCGAAGCACAGGGUUAGACAGUCUCUAAAGCCUUCUGCAGAUCAGAAACGCAGCAAUUCUGAGGUUUUCUUCAAUUUUCUAAUGUUAUUUCCAGCUCUUUCCCCUCUCUUCUUUCCUUGAUAUGCUGAGGAAAACUUUCUCUGUGAUAAGCAGAGUAGGUGUCUUGUUCUGUGAAUUUC
This 780-nucleotide long non-coding RNA is filed under the name Pan troglodytes (chimpanzee). RNAcentral describes it as "lincRNA". Lineage: Eukaryota; Metazoa; Chordata; Mammalia; Primates; Hominidae. The record is from RNAcentral.